This 2907-nucleotide ribosomal RNA is filed under the name SAR86 cluster bacterium BACL1 MAG-120507-bin14. RNAcentral's name for it is "bacterial LSU rRNA". It matches the Rfam family "Bacterial large subunit ribosomal RNA". The record is from RNAcentral. Lineage: Bacteria; Pseudomonadati; Pseudomonadota; Gammaproteobacteria.
GUUAUAUGAUCAAGUAAUUAAGAGCACAAGGCGGAUGCCUUGGCAGCUGAAGGCGAUGAAGGACGUAGUAACUUGCGAUAAGCUUCGGGGAGGUGGUAAACAACCUUUGAUCCGGAGAUUUCCGAAUGGGGGAACCCAGUGUGCAUAAGCACAUUAUCUUAUACUGAAUACAUAGGUAUAUGAAGCAAACCUAGGGAACUGAAACAUCUAAGUACCUAGAGGAAAAGAAAUCAAUAGAGAUUCCGGUAGUAGCGGCGAGCGAAACCGGACCAGCCCUUAAGCUUUUUUAAGAUUAGCAAAACAGACUGGAAAGUCUGGCCAUAGUAGGUGAUAGCCCUGUAUGCGAAAAUCUUUUAAGAGUGAAAUCGAGUAGGUCGGAACACGUGAAAUUCUGACUGAAUAUGGGGGGACCAUCCUCCAAGGCUAAAUACUCUCAGCUGACCGAUAGUGAACUAGUACCGUGAGGGAAAGGCGAAAAGAACCCCGGCGAGGGGAGUGAAAUAGAACCUGAAACCUUGUGCUUACAAGCAGUCGGAGCAGACUUGUUCUGUGACGGCGUACCUUUUGUAUAAUGGGUCAACGACUUAAUUUCAGUAGCAAGCUUAACCGCAUAGGGGAGGCGUAGGGAAACCGAGUCUUAAUAGGGCGCUCAGUUGCUGGAAUUAGACCCGAAACCGGGUGAUCUAUCCAUGGCCAGGGUGAAGGUUAGGUAACACUGACUGGAGGCCCGAACCCACUUAUGUUGAAAAAUGAGGGGAUGAGCUGUGGAUAGGAGUGAAAGGCUAAUCAAACCCGGAGAUAGCUGGUUCUCUUCGAAAACUAUUUAGGUAGUGCCUCAUGUAUUACCAUUGGGGGUAGAGCACUGUUUCGGCUAGGGGGUCAUCCCGACUUACCAAACCGAUGCAAACUCCGAAUACCAAUGAGUACGAGCAUGGGAGACAGACUGCGGGUGCUAACGUCCGUAGUCGAGAGGGAAACAACCCAGACCGUCAGCUAAGGUCCCAAAUUAUUAUUAAGUGGGAAACAAUGUGGGAAGGCACAAACAGCUAGGAGGUUGGCUUAGAAGCAGCCAUCCUUUAAAGAAAGCGUAAUAGCUCACUAGUCGAGUCGGCCUGCGUGGAAGAUAUAACGGGGCUAAAUAAUAAACCGAAGCUACGGAUCUUAAAUUUAUUUAAGAUGGUAGAAGAGCGUUCUGUAAGCGGUUGAAGGUGUGCUGUAAGGCAUGCUGGACGUAUCAGAAGUGCGAAUGUUGACAUGAGUAACGAUCAAAGAGGUGAAAAACCUCUUCGCCGAAAAUCCAAGGUUUCCUGUCCAACGCUAAUCGUGGCAGGGUGAGUCGGCUCCUAAGGCGAGGGCGAAAGCCGUAGUCGAUGGAAAACAGGUUAAUAUUCCUGUACUUCUUAUAAUUGUGAUGGGGUGACGGAGAAGGUUAGGCUAGCACGGCGACGGUUGUCCGUGUUUAAGGUUGUAGGCUGAGAUUUUAGGUAAAUCCGGAAUCUCUUAAGGCUGAGAACUGAUGACUACCACUCUUCUGAGUGGCGGUAGUUGAUACCAUGCUUCCAGGAAAAUCCUCUAAACUUCAGAUUAUAAGAAACCGUACCCCAAACCAACACAGGUGGAUAAGCUGAGAAGGCUAAGGUGUUUGAGAGAACUAUGGUGAAGGAACUAGGCAAAAUGGUACCGUAACUUCGGGAGAAGGUACGCCGCGUCCGGUGAUGAGACUUGCUCUCUGAAGCUAGACACGGUUGAAAAUACUAGGUGGCUGCGACUGUUUACUAAAAACACAGCACUCUGCAAAAUCGUAAGAUGACGUAUAGGGUGUGACGCCUGCCCGGUGCCGGAAGGUUAAUUGAUGGGGUUAGCUUAGGCGAAGCUCUUGAUCGAAGCCCCGGUAAACGGCGGCCGUAACUAUAACGGUCCUAAGGUAGCGAAAUUCCUUGUCGGGUAAGUUCCGACCUGCACGAAUGGCGUAACGAUGGCCACACUGUCUCCACCAUAGACUCAGUGAAAUUGAAAUCGCUGUUAAGAUGCAGUGUUCCCGCAGCUAGACGGAAAGACCCCGUGCACCUUUACUAUAGGUUCACACUGGACUUUGACUUUAUUUGUGUAGGAUAGGUGGGAGACUUUGAAGCUGAGACGCUAGUCUUAGUGGAGUCGUCCUUGAAAUACCACCCUUGUAAAGUUGAGGCUCUAACUCAGGUCCAUUAUCUGGAUCGAGGACAGUGUGUGCUGGGUAGUUUGACUGGGGCGGUCUCCUCCCAAAGAGUAACGGAGGAGUACGAAGGUAUCCUAAGCAUGGUCGGACAUCAUGCAGAUAGUAUAAAGGCAUAAGGAUGCUUGACUGCGAGACUGACGGGUCGAGCAGGUAGGAAACUAGGUCUUAGUGAUCCGGUGGUUCUGAAUGGAAGGGCCAUCGCUCAACGGAUAAAAGGUACGCCGGGGAUAACAGGCUGAUACCCCCCAAGAGUUCAUAUCGACGGGGGUGUUUGGCACCUCGAUGUCGGCUCAUCACAUCCUGGGGCUGGAGCAGGUCCCAAGGGUAUGGCUGUUCGCCAUUUAAAGUGGUACGCGAGCUGGGUUUAGAACGUCGUGAGACAGUUCGGUCCCUAUCUGCUGUGGGCGUUGGAGAUUUGAGGGAAGUUGAUCCUAGUACGAGAGGACCGGAUUGAACGAACCUCUGGUGUUCCGGUUGUCACGCCAGUGGCAUUGCCGGGUAGCUAUGUUCGGAAGGGAUAACCGCUGAAAGCAUCUAAGCGGGAAGCCUCUCCCAAGAUUAGAUCUCCCAUAGACUUCGGUCUACUAAAGAGUCGUCAUAGACUAUGACGUUGAUAGGCAAGGUGUGUAAGCGUUGUAAGGCGUUGAGCUAACUUGUACUAAUAACUCGUGAGGCUUGAUCAUGUAACCUUA